AGAGUUUGAUCCUGGCUCAGGAUGAACGCUGGCGGCGUGCCUAACACAUGCAAGUCGAGCGAUUCUUUAUGAAGUACUUGUACUACAUAAAGAGUAGCGGCGGACGGGUGAGUAACGCGUGGGUAACCUGCCCUAAACAAUGGGAUAGCCCUCCGAAAGGAGGAGUAAUACCAUAUAACACAUUUUUAAGGCAUCUUUAAAAAUGUCAAAGAUUAUCGGUUUAGGAUGGACCCGCGUCUGAUUAGCUAGUUGGUAAGGUAAAAGCUUACUAAGGCGAUGAUCAGUAGCCGACCUGAGAGGGUGAUCGGCCACACUGGAACUGAGACACGGUCCAGACUCCUACGGGAGGCAGCAGUGGGGAAUAUUGCACAAUGGGGGAAACCCUGAUGCAGCAACGCCGCGUGAGCGACGAAGGCUUUCGAGUCGUAAAGCUCUGUCCUAAGUGAAGAUAAUGACGGUAACUUAGGAGGAAGCCCCGGCUAACUACGUGCCAGCAGCCGCGGUAAUACGUAGGGGGCAAGCGUUAUCCGGAAUCAUUGGGCGUAAAGGGUGAGUAGGCGGCAAUAUAAGUCAGAGGUGAAAGGCUACGGCUUAACCGUAGUAAGCCUUUGAAACUGUAUAGCUUGAGUAUGGGAGAGGAGAGUGGAAUUCCUAGUGUAGCGGAACACCAGUGGCGAAGGCGACUCUCUGGACCAUAACUGACGCUGAGUCACGAAAGCGUGGGGAGCAAACAGGAUUAGAUACCCUGGUAGUCCACGCCGUAAACGAUGAGUGCUAGGUGUUGGGGGUCAAACCUCAGUGCCGCAGCUAACGCAUUAAGCACUCCGCCUGGGGAGUACGAUCGCAAGAUUGAAACUCAAAGGAAUUGACGGGGACCCGCACAAGCAGCGGAGCAUGUGGUUUAAUUCGAAGCAACGCGAAGAACCUUACCUGGACUUGACAUCCCUAUGAAAGUGCUUAGCCGGCAUGUUCUCUUCGGAGACAAAGGAGACAGGUGGUGCAUGGUUGUCGUCAGCUCGUGUCGUGAGAUGUUGGGUUAAGUCCCGCAACGAGCGCAACCCUUGCCUUUAGUUGCCAACAGGUAAAGCUGGGAACUCUAAGGGACUGCCGGGGAUAACUCGGAGGAAGGUGGGGAUGACGUCAAAUCAUCAUGCCCCUUAUGUUCAGGGCUACACACGUGCUACAAUGGUCGAUACAAAGGGAAGCGACAGAGCAAUCUCAAGCAAAUCCCAUAAAGUCGAUCCCAGUUCGGAUUGCGGGCUGAAACUCGCCCGCACGAAGUUGGAGUUGCUAGUAAUCGCGAAUCAGAAUGUCGCGGUGAAUGCGUUCCCGGGUCUUGUACACACCGGCCCGUCACACCACGGAAGUCGGGAUGCACCCGAAGCCAGUUAAUAAAAACUGUCGAAGGUGAAAUCGAUGACUGGGGUGAAGUCGUAACAAGGUAGCCG
RNAcentral lists this ribosomal RNA (1448 nucleotides) under uncultured bacterium. RNAcentral describes it as "16S ribosomal RNA". It matches the Rfam family "Bacterial small subunit ribosomal RNA". The record is from RNAcentral.